Podarcis lilfordi (Lilford's wall lizard) is the source of this 72-nucleotide non-coding RNA. Lineage: Eukaryota; Metazoa; Chordata; Lepidosauria; Squamata; Lacertidae. The record is from the annotation of a GenBank genome assembly.
GUCUCUUCCAACUCUAUGAUUCUAUGAUUCUAUGAUUCUAAAAGGCCAUAGAAUCGUAGAAUUGGAAAAGAC